GACGAACGCUGGCGGCGUGCCUAACACAUGCAAGUCGAACGGAAAGGCCCUGCUUUUGUGGGGUGCCAGAGUGGCGAACGGGUGAGUAACACGUGAGUAACCUGCCCUUGACUUUGGGAUAACUUCAGGAAACUGGGGCUAAUACCGGAUAGGAGCUCCUGCUGCAUGGUGGUGGUUGGAAAGUUUCGGAGGUUGUGGAUGGACUCGCGGCUUAUCAGCUUGUUGGGGGGGUAGUGGCUUACCAAGGCUGUGACGGAUAGCCGGCCUGAGAGGGGGGACAGGCACCUGAGUCCUACGAUAGGGCGCAGACGGCAACAGUGGGCAACAGUGGAAAGUAUUGCACAGUGAGCGGAAGUCUGAGACAGCGGCGCCCGGUUCGUAAAGACGGCCAUGGUGGGAGAAAGCGCAUUCGCCUGUGACGAAGCGUUAGUGACGGUACUGAGAAAAGAAGCACCGGCUAACUACGUG
Molecule: ribosomal RNA, 468 nt
Filed under: uncultured bacterium
Lineage: Bacteria
Description: partial 16S ribosomal RNA
Rfam family: Bacterial small subunit ribosomal RNA
Source: RNAcentral